CCUACGGGAGGCAGCAGUGGGGAAUAUUGGACAAUGGGCGGAAGCCUGAUCCAGCAACGCCGCGUGAGGGAUGACGGCCUUCGGGUUGUAAACCUCUUUCAGUACCGACGAAGCGCAAGUGACGGUAGGUACAGAAGAAGCACCGGCCAACUACGUGCCAGCAGCCGCGGUAAUACGUAGGGUGCGAGCGUUGUCCGGAAUUAUUGGGCGUAAAGGGCUCGUAGGCGGUUUGUCGCGUCGGGAGUGAAAACGCCGUGCUUAACACGGCGCUUGCUUUCGAUACGGGCAGACUAGAGGUAUGCAGGGGAGAACGGAAUUCCUGGUGUAGCGGUGAAAUGCGCAGAUAUCAGGAGGAACACCGGUGGCGAAGGCGGUUCUCUGGGCAUUACCUGACGCUGAGGAGCGAAAGUGUGGGGAGCGAACAGGAUUAGAUACCCUGGUAGUCCACACCGUAAACGUUGGGCGCUAGGUGUGGGGUCCAUUCCACGGGAUUCCGUGCCGCAGCUACGCAUAGCGCCCGCCGUCGGGAGGUACGGCCGCGACGACGUAAACGUUAAACGUAAGUUAGACGGACGUGAGACGUCGCCGAACGGACGACGACGAGGGAGUAGG
RNAcentral lists this ribosomal RNA (612 nucleotides) under uncultured bacterium. RNAcentral's name for it is "bacterial SSU rRNA". The stretch from base 1 to 522 matches the Rfam family "Bacterial small subunit ribosomal RNA", at positions 338 to 873 of the family's 1533-position model. The record is from RNAcentral.